GAUGAACGCUGGCGGCGUGCCUAAUACAUGCAAGUCGAGCGAACAGACGAGGAGCUUGCUCCUCUGACGUUAGCGGCGGACGGGUGAGUAACACGUGGAUAACCUACCUAUAAGACUGGGAUAACUUCGGGAAACCGGAGCUAAUACCGGAUAAUAUAUUGAACCGCAUGGUUCAAUAGUGAAAGACGGUUUUGCUGUCACUUAUAGAUGGAUCCGCGCCGCAUUAGCUAGUUGGUAAGGUAACGGCUUACCAAGGCGACGAUGCGUAGCCGACCUGAGAGGGUGAUCGGCCACACUGGAACUGAGACACGGUCCAGACUCCUACGGGAGGCAGCAGUAGGGAAUCUUCCGCAAUGGGCGAAAGCCUGACGGAGCAACGCCGCGUGAGUGAUGAAGGUCUUCGGAUCGUAAAACUCUGUUAUUAGGGAAGAACAAAUGUGUAAGUAACUAUGCAAGUCUUGACGGUACCUAAUCAGAAAGCCACGGCUAACUACGU
This 496-nucleotide ribosomal RNA is filed under the name uncultured bacterium. RNAcentral describes it as "partial 16S ribosomal RNA". It matches the Rfam family "Bacterial small subunit ribosomal RNA", at positions 28 to 506 of the family's 1533-position model. The record is from RNAcentral.